AGUGAACGCUGGCGGUAGGCCUAACACAUGCAAGUCGAACGGCAGCACAGUAAGAGCUUGCUCUUACGGGUGGCGAGUGGCGGACGGGUGAGGAAUACAUCGGAAUCUACUUUUUCGUGGGGGAUAACGUAGGGAAACUUACGCUAAUACCGCAUACGACCUACGGGUGAAAGCAGGGGAUCUUCGGACCUUGCGCGAUUGAAUGAGCCGAUGUCGGAUUAGCUAGUUGGCGGGGUAAAGGCCCACCAAGGCGACGAUCCGUAGCUGGUCUGAGAGGAUGAUCAGCCACACUGGAACUGAGACACGGUCCAGACCCCUACGGGAGGCAGCAGUGGGGAAUAUUGGACAAUGGGCGCAAGCCUGAUCCAGCCAUACCGCGUGGGUGAGGAAGGCCUUCGGGUUGUAAAGCCCUUUUGUUGGGAAAGAAAAGCAGCAGGUUAAUACCCCGCUGUUCUGACGGUACCCAAAGAAUAAGCACCGGCUAACUUCGUG
This 492-nucleotide ribosomal RNA is filed under the name uncultured bacterium. RNAcentral describes it as "partial 16S ribosomal RNA". It matches the Rfam family "Bacterial small subunit ribosomal RNA", at positions 29 to 507 of the family's 1533-position model. The record is from RNAcentral.